CAUUUUCAGUUGACAUUGACUAAUCUUAUCUAGUUCCAAGGAUUUAAGAAAUCUUAGGAUUUCAUAGACAUGACUAAUAUGCGUAAGGGAAAGUCCUCUCCUUUUACGAGAUAACUUAAUUCCAUCAUUUGGAUCUCGAGAGGUGAACAAGUAUGGAUACUAGGCACCAAGAGGUUGUUGUCCGUAAUUGUGAAGCUCUAUACGUCUUAUAAGUGAAAUCUUCGAGAUAUAGCUCUUCCAAUCACACUUAAUCAUAUGGAUCUUGAGAGGUGACCAUGUGUGACGUUUAAUUACUCUGAGAGGAGCACACCUUAAUUAUAAGUUGGUUGAGCGAGUUUUAUUGCAUCAAGGUUGUUGUGUUACUUAAUUGAAUUACAAUGCAUAUACAUUCAUUCGCUUUUUUCGCAUACAAGUUAGUUCACAUUCUCAUCUCACCAUCCAUAUUUCACUUUACAGACUCUCUAGGCGUAGACAUUUAGCGAUAGUUUGUUCUUGCAUUUAUUUUACACAAUUUGUUUUUCUUUAAUUCUUUUAUAUGACCUAGAUGAUAAGUAAACCCUAGAGCUAAUACCUUGAAUCAAUUUCCUGUGUUCGACCCUAGAUCACUUAGGUAAAUCUAUUGCUUUGCUUGCACUUGGACAAGUAGUAGGAAAACUUAUACUAAAUGCGAAUUUUAGCAAAAGCUAUUGUAGAGAGCAAGAGCUUCCCCUCGAUUCCUUUCUUUGUUUUAGGUGAGAGUCUAAAAAAGAGAGUCAUCAAUUUCCCCCCGUGUAAAGGCAAAAAUCAGAGCUAAAGAGUAUGAGCACUCAUUCUCCACGACUUGUCUCCUUUUCUGUGUUCCAUUUGCAUAUUUCAUUAACACCAAGUUGUAAUAUUGACUCCACGACUGAGAGACCUAAAAUUUUAUUUAUGAUAUUUAUGUUUUGCUUCUAUCACUCUCCUAUAUUUCCUUAUAUGUUCAUCUGUUGCACGUUUAGUUAAUUGUUUGCAUAAUGUAGGGUAUUUUAACACUAGAAACUUUGUUUGAAUGCAUGGUAAGUUAUGCUUAGCUAAAUACGACCAUCAAUAUCUUAUCUCAUUGGAGAGAAAAGAUAAAGUAUUAAUAGUUAUCACUUGACACGUGAUGACCCCUAUUUUAUUAACCAUACGACAAUGAGAUUGUGGCAAUACAAUCUUGUCACCCAAUUUAUGCCUUGCAUAUAUGAUAGAAAUGCAGGAUAUGUGUGUCAAAAGCAAUGAGAGGUUGCUUUCCUUAAUAAGGACAAAUUUCUUAUAGUUCAAACAAACACAUGAGAUACAAAUCAUAAAUUAACUUUAAAUAAUUAAGUCCCGAGAGGUGAGCAAGUAUGAUAAAGGCUUCUAGAGGUUGCUCGCCUUAAUUAAACAUUUAGUUAACAACAUAUGUUAAAAUCCCUUGUUUUACAUUUAGUUAGUUAAAUAUUUUGACAUGUCCACACGCCUAAACAACCAAGUUCAUGUUUCAUUACAUUUCACCUCUACAUCCAUCUUGCUGCUUUUAUUCGCACUAUAGUUAAAUAAUUAGGAAAACCAUAUUGCACAUACAUUUAUAUUGUAUACUUAAGUGCAUAUGAUUUAAGACGUGAGAUAGAUUCAUGUAAGAAGCUAAUUUCCUGUGUUCGACCCUGGACUUACCAGGAAACCUCUUUCGCCGCUUGCACUUGGGUGAGAAAGAGGAAAACUUGUCCUAAUGUUCAUCAUCAUGCAUUUAGCAACACAUAGGUAGGAUAUGCACCUUUUAUCGCAUAACCCUAACCUAGACACAAUCUUAAUCACAUUAUUAGAGCUUUGCACGAAAUAUCCACGAAUGAUCUUUGCACAUAACGCACACCACAUAAUAAACAAACCCAACAAGUACUACUUGAGGCUUCUCUCUCUAAUCUCUAUUUAACCUCUCACAAAGAAUUUGAUUUGAGAAGAGAUGAAAAAGGAUAAACUUCUAUAUAGUGUGGGCACUUAGUAUGUACUUCUAUAUGUGUAUCUAUCUAUAUCUCCCACUAAUAGAAUAGAAGGGUAUUCAUAGGCAUGGUUAGGCGGGAACUACCCAGGCUCUACUGCUCAAAUUGUCCUUAUCCUCUAAACAUGUCAAGGUCGAUGCCAAUCUCGACAAGUCCCAUCAACUCCACUGUCCACUUUUUUCUUCUAGCGAAUCAGCACAUGUUAUGAGAUUGUUGUCAAAAUGCCUCUCGAUUUAGAUCGCCUGACAUCUUCUCAUCACCCAAUUUAUUGACGCAUUCCUU
Molecule: long non-coding RNA, 2258 nt
Filed under: Cucumis sativus (cucumber)
Lineage: Eukaryota; Viridiplantae; Streptophyta; Magnoliopsida; Cucurbitales; Cucurbitaceae
Description: long non-coding RNA (CSAT_LNC002774)
Source: RNAcentral